AUUGAACGCUGGCGGCAGGCUUAACACAUGCAAGUCGAGCGGUAACAGAGAGAAGCUUGCUUCUCUGCUGACGAGCGGCGGACGGGUGAGUAAUGCCUAGGAAUCUGCCUAGUAGUGGGGGAUAACUUGCCGAAAGGUAAGCUAAUACCGCAUACGUCCUAUGGGAGAAAGGAGGGGACCUUCGGGCCUUUCGCUAUUAGAUGAGCCUAGGUCGGAUUAGUUAGUUGGUGAGGUAAUGGCUCACCAAGACCGCGAUCCGUAACUGGUCUGAGAGGAUGAUCAGUCACACUGGAACUGAGACACGGUCCAGACUCCUACGGGAGGCAGCAGUGGGGAAUAUUGGACAAUGGGGGGAACCCUGAUCCAGCCAUGCCGCGUGUGUGAAGAAGGUCUUAGGAUUGUAAAGCACUUUAAGUUGGGAGGAAGAGCAGUUAACUAAUAUUUGACUGUUUUGACGUUACCGACAGAAUAAGCACCGGCUAACUCCGUGCCAGCCGCCGCGGUAA
RNAcentral lists this ribosomal RNA (506 nucleotides) under uncultured bacterium. Its description in RNAcentral is "partial 16S ribosomal RNA". It matches the Rfam family "Bacterial small subunit ribosomal RNA", at positions 30 to 523 of the family's 1533-position model. The record is from RNAcentral.